Molecule: non-coding RNA, 73 nt
Organism: Patiria miniata (bat star)
Lineage: Eukaryota; Metazoa; Echinodermata; Asteroidea; Valvatida; Asterinidae
Source: the annotation of a RefSeq genome assembly
GGCUGGAUAGCUCAGUUGGUAGAGCACUGCAAUGGUAAUCCAGAGGUCGCAGGUUCAAACCCCGCUCCAGUCA